RNAcentral lists this non-coding RNA (22 nucleotides) under Arabidopsis thaliana (thale cress). Lineage: Eukaryota; Viridiplantae; Streptophyta; Magnoliopsida; Brassicales; Brassicaceae. The record is from RNAcentral.
CAUAGUGGUUCUGAGCGACGCC